UUUGGAGAAGUUUGAUCCUGGCUCAGGACGAACGCUGGCGGCGUGCUUAACACAUGCAAGUCGAACGAUGAACCACUUCGGUGGGGAUUAGUGGCGAACGGGUGAGUAACACGUGGGCAAUCUGCCCUGCACUCUGGGACAAGCCCUGGAAACGGGGUCUAAUACCGGAUACUGAUCCUCGCAGGCAUCUGCGAGGUUCGAAAGCUCCGGCGGUGCAGGAUGAGCCCGCGGCCUAUCAGCUAGUUGGUGAGGUAACGGCUCACCAAGGCGACGACGGGUAGCCGGCCUGAGAGGGCGACCGGCCACACUGGGACUGAGACACGGCCCAGACUCCUACGGGAGGCAGCAGUGGGGAAUAUUGCACAAUGGGCGAAAGCCUGAUGCAGCGACGCCGCGUGAGGAUGACGGCCUUCGGGUUGU
RNAcentral lists this ribosomal RNA (420 nucleotides) under Streptomyces maritimus. RNAcentral describes it as "bacterial SSU rRNA". It matches the Rfam family "Bacterial small subunit ribosomal RNA", at positions 1 to 426 of the family's 1533-position model. Lineage: Bacteria; Bacillati; Actinomycetota; Actinomycetes; Kitasatosporales; Streptomycetaceae. The record is from RNAcentral.